This 882-nucleotide ribosomal RNA is filed under the name uncultured Pseudomonas sp. Its description in RNAcentral is "bacterial SSU rRNA". It matches the Rfam family "Bacterial small subunit ribosomal RNA", at positions 53 to 931 of the family's 1533-position model. The record is from RNAcentral. Lineage: Bacteria; Pseudomonadati; Pseudomonadota; Gammaproteobacteria; Pseudomonadales; Pseudomonadaceae.
GCAUACUCGUCGAGCGGAUGAGUGGAGCUUGCUCCAUGAUUCAGCGGCGGACGGGUGAGUAAUGCCUAGGAAUCUGCCUGGUAGUGGCGGACAACGUUUCGAAAGGAACGCUAAUACCGCAUACGUCCUACGGGAGAAAGCAGGGGACCUUCGGGCCUUGCGCUAUCAGAUGAGCCUAGGUCGGAUUAGCUAGUAGGUGAGGUAAUGGCUCACCUAGGCGACGAUCCGUAACUCGUCUGAGAGGAUGAUCAGUCACACUGGAACUGAGACACGGUCCAGACUCCUACGGGAGGCAGCAGUGGGGAAUAUUGGACAAUGGGCGAAAGCCUGAUCCAGCCAUGCCGCGUGUGUGAAGAGGUCUUCGGAUUGUAAAGCACUUUAAGUUGGGAGGAAGGGCAUGUAAGUUAAUACCUUGCUGUAUUGACGUUACCAACAGAAUAAGCACCGGCUAACUUCGUGCCAGCAGCCGCGGUAAUACGAAGGGUGCAAGCGUUAAUCGGAAUUACUGGGCGUAAAGCGCGCGUAGGUGGUCAGCAAGUUGGAGGUGAAAUCCACGGGCUCAACCUGGGAACUGCCUCCCAUACUACUGAGCUAGAGUACGGUAGAGGGUAGUGGAAUUUCCUGUGUAGCGGUGAAAUGCGUAGAUAUAGGAAGGAACACCAGUGGCGAAGGCGACUACCUGGACUGAUACUGACACUGAGGUGCGAAAGCGUGGGGAGCAAACAGGAUUAGAUACCCUGGUAGUCCACGCCGUAACCGAUGUCGACUAGCCGUUGGGAUCCUUGAGAUCUUAGUGGCGCAGCUAACGCAUUAAGUCGACCGCCUGCGGAGUACGGCCGCAAGGUUAUAACUCAAAUGAAUUGACGUGGGCCCGAGGUAGAG